AAAAAAAGAAAAGGACAACAUUAGACAUACACAAAGGUCUUAACAGAAAACAUACCUGAAAAUCCUCAAUCUGCGUCGCGCCCUGCAAAAAAAAAAGUCCACACGACCUAAAGGAAAAAAAAAGGAACCAUUAGACAUACACAAAGGUCUUAACAGAAAACAUACCUAAAUCCUCAAUCUGUGUCGCGCCCUGCUAGAAAAAAAGAAAAGGCAACAUUAGACAUACACAAAGGUCUUAACAGAAAACAUACCUGAAAAUCCUCAAUCUGCGUCACGCCCUGCUAGAAAAAAAGAAAAGGCGAAAUUAGACAUACACAAAGGUCUUAACAGAAAACAUACCUGGAAUUCCUCAAUCUGCGUCGCGCCCUGCUAGAAAAAAAGAAAAGGCAACAUUAGACAUACACAAAGGUCUUAACAGAAAACAUACCUGAAUUCCUCAAUCUGCGUCGCGCCCUGCUAGAAAAAAAGAAAAGGCGACAUUAGACAUACACACAAAGGUCUUAACAGAAAACAUACCUGAAUUCCUCAAUCUGCGUCGCGCCCUGCUAGAAAAAAAGAAAAGGCGACAUUAGACAUACACAAAGGCCUUAACAGAAAACAUACCUGCGAAUCUUCAAUCUGCGUCGCGCCCUGCUGGAAAAAAAAAGAAAAGGUGACAUUAGACAUACUCAAAGGCCUUAACAGAAAACAUACCUGAAAAUCCUCAAUCUGCGUCGCGCCCUGCUAAAAAAAAAAAAAAGGCCACACGACCUAAAGGAAUUUCCAAUCUGCGUCAAGACCUGCUAGAAAAAAAGAAAAGCAACAUUAGACAUACACAAAGGUCUUAACAGAAAACAUACCUGGAAUUCCUCAAUCUGCGUCGCGACCUGCUAGAAAAAAAGAAAAGGCGACAUUAGACAUACACAAAGGUCUUAACAGAAAACAUACCUGGAAUCUCUCAAUCUGCGUCGCGCCCUGCUAGAAAAAAAAGAAAAAGACAACAUUAGACAUACACAAAGGUCUUAACAGAAAACAUACCUGGAAUUCCUCAAUCUGCGUCGCGACCUGCUAGAAAAAAAAGAAAAGGCGACAUUAGACAUACACAAAGGUCUUAACAGAAAACAUACCUGGGAAUCCUCAAUCUGCGUCGCGCCCUGCUAGAAAAAAAGAAAAGGCGAAAUUAGACAUACACAAAGGUCUUAACGGAAAACAUACCUGGGAAUCCUCAAUCUGCGUCGCACCCUGCUAGAAAAAAAGAAAAGGCGAAAUUAGACAUACACAAAGGUCUUAACAGAAAACAUACCUGAAAAUCCUCAAUCUGCGUCGCCCCCUGCUAGAAAAAAAGAAAAGGCGACAUUAGACAUACACAAAGGUCUUAACAGAAAACAUACCUGAAUUCCUCAAUCUGCGUCGCGCCCUGCUGAGAAAAAAAAGAAAAGGUGACAUUAGACAUACUCAAAGGCCUUAACAGAAAACAUACCUGCGAAUCUGCAAUCUGCGUCGCGCCCUGCUAGAAAAAAAGAAAAGACAACAUUAGACAUACACAAAGGUCUUAACAGAAAACAUACCUGAAAAUCCUUAAUCUGCGUCGGGCCCUGCAAAAAAAAAGAAAGCCACACGACCUAAAGGAAAAAAAUUAGACAUACACAAAGGUCUUAACAGAAAACAUACCUGGAAUACCUCAAUCUGCGUCGACCCUGCUAGAAAAAAAGAAAAGACAACAUUAGACAUAC
RNAcentral lists this long non-coding RNA (1712 nucleotides) under Mytilus galloprovincialis (Mediterranean mussel). Lineage: Eukaryota; Metazoa; Mollusca; Bivalvia; Mytilida; Mytilidae. The record is from RNAcentral.